Molecule: small nucleolar RNA, 101 nt
Filed under: Erythranthe guttata (spotted monkey flower)
Lineage: Eukaryota; Viridiplantae; Streptophyta; Magnoliopsida; Lamiales; Phrymaceae
Description: Mimulus guttatus (spotted monkey flower) Small nucleolar RNA R64/Z200 family
Rfam family: Small nucleolar RNA R64/Z200 family
About the family: This family of plant small nucleolar RNAs belong to the C/D class of snoRNA which contain the C (UGAUGA) and D (CUGA) box motifs. This family includes Arabidopsis thaliana snoRNA R64 and Oryza sativa snoRNAs Z200 and J16. Most of the members of the box C/D family function in directing site-specific 2'-O-methylation of substrate RNAs.
Source: Rfam by way of RNAcentral
UUUCUGCUAUGAUGAUUUAUUGAAAUGAAUUCACAUGUCAGACUUCAGAGAUUUUUUCAUAAAAUCCAUGAGAAUAAAAUUUCAUGAUUUCUGAGCAGGGA